This 474-nucleotide ribosomal RNA is filed under the name uncultured bacterium. RNAcentral describes it as "SSU rRNA". It matches the Rfam family "Bacterial small subunit ribosomal RNA", at positions 26 to 518 of the family's 1533-position model. The record is from RNAcentral.
AGAAUCAACGCUGGCGGCGUGCCUAACACAUGCAAGUCGAACGAGAAAGGGGAGCAAUCCCUGAGUAAAGUGGCGACCGGGUGAGUAACACGUGACUAACCUACCCUCGAGUGUGGAAUAACAUCGGGAAACCGAUGCUAAUACCGCAUAACAUCGGCGCUUUUAAGAGAUGCCGAUCAAAGGAGCAAUCCGCUUGAGGAGGGGGUCGCGGCUGAUUAGCUAGUUGGCGGGGUAACGGCCCACCAAGGCGAAGAUCGGUAGCCGGCCUGAGAGGGCGCACGGCCACACUGGAACUGAAACACGGUCCAGACUCCUACGGAGGCAGCAGUGGGGAAUUUUGCGCAAUGGGGGAAACCCUGACGCAGCAACGCCGCGUGGAGGAUGAAGCCCCUUGGGGCGUAAACUCCUUUCGACCAAGACGAUAAUGACGGUACUGGUGGAAGAAGCACCGGCUAACUCUGCGCCAGCAGCCGC